GAAAGUAAUUACCAUGACGUAAAAUAUGUGCCUAUUACAAAUCUAAUUAACUGUACAAAGAUACACUAAUUAAUUAUACAAAGAUAUAGAUAUAUGAGAAACAGAACUCACAAACAAUGAUCAAGUGAGAUGGCUAAGAACAAACUAUCUAGAAAAAACAUGUGCAACAACCCGAAGAGACUUUUAACCCACUUUCUCACAUCAAGUAAAUCUACCAUUUACAAGUGAAGAAAGACACGAACUGAACCUCAUGUCCGCAAUGUAGGAACCAUUUACAGUACCAAGCUAGUGAUGACAAAUCUUUUAACCAUCUACCACAUGCAAUAGAAAAGUGAAAUAUAAUUUGCCAGCUUCUUCUUCAAAGAAGAAUAUCAAUCAUGUGGUCACCGUUGGUGUAUGUCACAACUCUGCUCCUC
Molecule: long non-coding RNA, 416 nt
Filed under: Hordeum vulgare
Lineage: Eukaryota; Viridiplantae; Streptophyta; Magnoliopsida; Poales; Poaceae
Description: long non-coding RNA (HVUL_LNC000590)
Source: RNAcentral